This 253-nucleotide ribosomal RNA is filed under the name uncultured bacterium. RNAcentral describes it as "partial 16S ribosomal RNA". It matches the Rfam family "Bacterial small subunit ribosomal RNA", at positions 524 to 776 of the family's 1533-position model. The record is from RNAcentral.
UACGUAGGAGACGAGCGUUGUCCGGAGUUACUGGGCGUAAAGGGCGCGCAGGCGGCCGCCCGCGUGUGUGGUGAAAGCUCCUGGCUUAACUAGGAGAGGUCCAUGCAGACGGGGUGGCUUGAGCGUCGGAGAGGGGCAUGGAAUUCCGGGUGGAGCGGUGAAAUGCGUAGAGAUCCGGAGGAACACCAAUGGCGAAGGCAGUGCCCUGGGCGACGGCUGACGCUCAGGCGCGAAAGCGUGGGGAGCAAACAGG